GAACCUACGGGGCGCAGCAGUCGGGAAUAUUGCGCAAUGGAGGAAACUCUGACGCAGUGACGCCGCGUAUAGGAAGAAGUUUUUCGGAAUGUAAACUAUUGUCGUUAGGGAAGAGAAAGGACGGUACCUAAGGAGGAAGCCCCGGCUAACUAUGUGCCAGCAGCCGCGGUAAUACAUAGGGGGCGAGCGUUAUCCGGAAUUAUUGGGUGUAAAGGGUGCGUAGACGGGAUUUUAAGUUAGUUGUGAAAGCCCCAGGCUUAACUUGGGAACUGCAACUAAAACUGAAAUUCUUGAGUACUGGAGAG
This 305-nucleotide ribosomal RNA is filed under the name uncultured bacterium. RNAcentral's name for it is "bacterial SSU rRNA". It matches the Rfam family "Bacterial small subunit ribosomal RNA", at positions 333 to 656 of the family's 1533-position model. The record is from RNAcentral.